UAUCUCUGUAGAGUCUGCAUAUCAAUAAGCGGAGGAAAAGAAACUAACUAGGAUUCCCUUAGUAACGGCGAGUGAAGCGGGAAGAGCUCAAAUUUGAAAUCUUAAAGGUUUUCCCUUGACGAAUUGUAGUUUAAAGAAGUGUUUUCUGUUGGAUGUUUUGGUAAAAGUUCUUUGGAAUAGGACAUCAUAGAGGGUGAGAAUCCCGUAUUUGACCAUUACUUUCCACUUUGUGAUACACUUUCAAAGAGUCGGAUUGUUUGGGAAUGCAGUCCAAAAUGGGUGGUAAAUUUCAUCUAAAGCUAAAUAUUGGCGAGAGACCGAUAGCGAACAAGUACCGUGAGGGAAAGAUGAAAAGAACUUUGAAAAGAGAGUUAAACAGUACGUGAAAUUGUCAAAAGGGAAGCGUUUGACACCAGUGUUGUUUUCUCGAAAAUCAAUUAAAAAAGGCAGGAUUUUGUGUUGUAUUGACUUUAUCAGCUUUCUGCACUCUUUUCUUGUCUUUUUUAAUGCACUUUUCGUUUAACAAGUCAACAUCAAUUUCUUUUGUUGUAAAAGGGUCAUUGGAACGGUGGCUUUCUUUUCGGAGAAAGUGUUUAUAGCCUUUGGCCUCUGCAAUCGGAGAGAUUGAGGUCUGCAGCGUAGAUCCUUCGGGGUUAGAUACAUUUGUGCUAAGUUAUAGCCUUUCAUAGACAACUUGUUGACUAUGAUCAGUCAUGUAGCUUACUCGCUUAUGCUAUUUUACCUACGCUUAGGAUGUUGACGAUCAGCUGAGCGCG
RNAcentral lists this ribosomal RNA (776 nucleotides) under uncultured Neocallimastigales. RNAcentral's name for it is "partial large subunit ribosomal RNA". It matches the Rfam family "Eukaryotic large subunit ribosomal RNA", at positions 24 to 627 of the family's 3401-position model. The record is from RNAcentral. Lineage: Eukaryota; Fungi; Neocallimastigomycota; Neocallimastigomycetes; Neocallimastigales.